RNAcentral lists this non-coding RNA (21 nucleotides) under Caenorhabditis elegans. Lineage: Eukaryota; Metazoa; Nematoda; Chromadorea; Rhabditida; Rhabditidae. The record is from RNAcentral.
UAGACGGUUUUCGUUGUGAAA